RNAcentral lists this ribosomal RNA (430 nucleotides) under uncultured bacterium. RNAcentral describes it as "bacterial SSU rRNA". It matches the Rfam family "Bacterial small subunit ribosomal RNA", at positions 355 to 776 of the family's 1533-position model. The record is from RNAcentral.
UGGGGAAUAUUGGACAAUGGGGGGAACCCUGAUCCAGCCAUGCCGCGUGUGUGAAGAAGGCCUUAUGGUUGUAAAGCACUUUAAGCGAGGAGGAGGCUCCUAUAGAUAAUACCUAUAGAGAGUGGACGUUACUCGCAGAAUAAGCACCGGCUAACUCUGUGCCAGCAGCCGCGGUAAUACAGAGGGUGCGAGCGUUAAUCGGAUUUACUGGGCGUAAAGCGUACGUAGGCGGCUUUUUAAGUCGGAUGUGAAAUCCCCGAGCUUAACUUGGGAAUUGCAUUCGAUACUGGGAAGCUAGAGUAUGGGAGAGGAUGGUAGAAUUCCAGGUGUAGCGGUGAAAUGCGUAGAGAUCUGGAGGAAUACCGAUGGCGAAGGCAGCCAUCUGGCCUAAUACUGACGCUGAGGUACGAAAGCAUGGGGAGCAAACAGG